AACGAGGCCGACCUGCGGCUGAGUUACCUGCGGAAGGAUCAUUAUAGAGUUUUCUAAACUCCCAACCCAUGUGAACUUACCUUUUGUUGCCUCGGCAGAAGUUAUAGGUCUUCUUAUAGCUGCUGCCGGUGGACCAUUAAACUCUUGUUAUUUUAUGUAAUCUGAGCGUCUUAUUUUAAUAAGUCAAAACUUUCAGCAAUGGAUCU
Molecule: unclassified non-coding RNA, 206 nt
Filed under: soil metagenome
Description: partial contains 5.8S ribosomal RNA, internal transcribed spacer 2, and large subunit ribosomal RNA
Source: RNAcentral